This 689-nucleotide ribosomal RNA is filed under the name Hoplobatrachus tigerinus (Indus valley bullfrog). RNAcentral describes it as "partial 12S rRNA". It matches the Rfam family "Bacterial small subunit ribosomal RNA", at positions 318 to 1389 of the family's 1533-position model. Lineage: Eukaryota; Metazoa; Chordata; Amphibia; Anura; Dicroglossidae. The record is from RNAcentral.
ACCUAGUCCCACCACACCCCCAAGGGUAUUCAGCAGUGAUAGAUAUUGUCUAUAAGCGCUAGCUUGACCCAGUUAUAGAGAAGAGAGCCGGCCAACUUGGUGCCAGCCGCCGCGGCUAGACCAACUGGACUCAAAUUGAUAAUCCCCGGCGUUAAGCGUGAUUAAAGCCAUGAACAAAUUAGAGUUAAACCUACGUUGAGCAGUGAAAAGCACACGAUAGGGAAAUCCAAAAACGAAAGUUAUUCUAAUCCUUGCUUGAAUACACGACAGCUAGGGCACAAACUGGGAUUAGAUACCCCACUAUGCCUAGCCGUAAACUAUUAACCUACACCCACCCGCGCCAGGGAACUACGAGCUUUAGCUUAAAACCCAAAGGACUUGACGGUGUCCCACCCAACUAGAGGAGCCUGUUCUAUAAUCGAUGACCCCCGCUCCACCCAACCCCCCCUUGCUUUAUCAGCCUGUAUACCUCCGUCGUAAACCCGCCGUAUGAAUGUACCCAAGCGGAUUUAAUGGUCCCACACCAACACGUCAGGUCAAGGUGCAGCCAAUGGAAGAGGUAAGUGAUGGGCUACAAUUUCUAGUCUAGAACAAACGAAAUUCUGCAUGAAACACAGUUAUGAAGGAGGAUUUAGUAGUAAAAAGAAAGUAGCGUGUUCUUUUUAACAUGGCCCUGGGACGUGUACACA